GAGUUUGAUCCUGGCUCAGAUUGAACGCUGGCGGCAUGCCUUACACAGUGCAAGUCGAACGGCAGCACGGGAGCUUGCUCCUGGUGGCGAGUGGCGAACGGGUGAGUAAUGCAUCGGAACGUAUCCUGGAGUGGGGGAUAACGUAGCGAAAGUUACGCUAAUACCGCAUAUUCUGUGAGCAGGAAAGCGGGGGACCUUCGGGCCUCGCGCUAUCAGAUGAGCCUAGGUCGGAUUAGCUAGUUGGUGGGGUAAUGGCUCACCAAGGCGACGAUCCGUAACUGGUCUGAGAGGAUGAUCAGUCACACUGGAACUGAGACACGGUCCAGACUCCUACGGGAGGCAGCAGUGGGGAAUAUUGGACAAUGGGCGAAAGCCUGAUCCAGCCAUGCCGCGUGUGUGAAGAAGGUCUUCGGAUUGUAAAGCACUUUAAGUUGGGAGGAAGGGCAGUAAGUUAAUACCUUGCUGUUUUGACGUUACCGACAGAAUAAGCACCGGCUAACUCUGUG
This 506-nucleotide ribosomal RNA is filed under the name bacterium enrichment culture clone ALO1_GLFRUDD03HH7WX. Its description in RNAcentral is "bacterial SSU rRNA". It matches the Rfam family "Bacterial small subunit ribosomal RNA", at positions 9 to 507 of the family's 1533-position model. The record is from RNAcentral.